AGCAUAUCAAUAAGCGGAGGAAAAGAAACUAACAAGGAUUCCCCUAGUAACUGCGAGUGAAGCGGGAUAAGCUCAAAUUUAAAAUCUGGUAGCUUCGCUGCCCGAGUUGUAAUCUGGAGAAGUGCUUUCCGUGCUGGACCGUGUACAAGUCUCUUGGAACAGAGCGUCAUAGAGGGUGAGAAUCCCGUCUUUGACACGGACUACCAGUGCUUUGUGAUGCGCUCUCAAAGAGUCGAGUUGUUUGGGAAUGCAGCUCAAAAUGGGUGGUAAAUUCCAUCUAAAGCUAAAUAUUGGCGAGAGACCGAUAGCGAACAAGUACCGUGAGGGAAAGAUGAAAAGAACUUUGGAAAGAGAGUUAAACAGUACGUGAAAUUGCUGAAAGGGAAACGCUUGAAGUCAGUCGCGUUGGCCGGAACUCAGCCUGGCUUUUGCUUGGUGCAUUUUCUGGUCGACGGGUCAGCAUCAGUUUUGACUGUCGGAUAAUGGUCGGGGGAAUGUGGCAUCUUCGGAUGUGUUAUAGCCCUCGGUCGCAUACGAUGGUUGGGACUGAGGAUCUCAGCACACCUUUAUGGUCGGGGUUCGCCCACGUUUGUGCUUAGGAUGCUGGCAUAAUGGCUUUAAACGACCCGUCUUGAAACACGGACCAAGGAGUCUAACAUGCGUGCGAGUGUUUGGGUGUAAAACCCGAGCGCGUAAUGAAAGUGAAAGUUGAGAUCCCUGUCGUGGGGAGCAUCGACGCCCGGACCAGACCUUCUGUGACGGCUCUGCGGUGGAGCAUGUAUGUUGGGACCCGAAAGAUGGUGAACUAUGCCUGAAUAGGGUGAAGCCAGAGGAAACUCUGGUGGAGGCUCGUAGCGAUUCUGACGUGCAAAUCGAUCGUCAAAUUUGGGUAUAGGGGCGAAAGACUAAUCGAACCAUCUAGUAGCUGGUUCCUGCCG
RNAcentral lists this ribosomal RNA (938 nucleotides) under Cyanosporus caesius. RNAcentral describes it as "LSU rRNA". It matches the Rfam family "Eukaryotic large subunit ribosomal RNA", at positions 37 to 963 of the family's 3401-position model. The record is from RNAcentral. Lineage: Eukaryota; Fungi; Basidiomycota; Agaricomycetes; Polyporales; Postiaceae.